CCCUUCUCAGGGUCGCACCUGGAGAGUUUCCGGUAGUCUACCAGUCUCGGCUCCAUGAAGGAGAGUCAAGCAGAGGCCUGUCCAUUCCAUUCCUAGCUUGGCCAGUGGCUAGCGAGUGGAAGGCCAACUGCUACAAAU
This is a non-coding RNA of Ornithorhynchus anatinus (platypus), 138 nucleotides long. The record is from Rfam. NCBI's taxonomy places the organism in Eukaryota, Metazoa, Chordata, Mammalia, Monotremata, Ornithorhynchidae.